CAGGACCGCGCCAAAUCCCACAGGCCACGCUCAGGCCCGUUUGCGUGUCAACCAUGAGGACUGCUCCCGCGUUGUUGUGCACCUGUUCGCCCGAAUGCACUCGCAUGAACCGCAAACGCUCUAGCUUGAAUUGGCUUUCAGUCCCACGUCCGCUUGCUUAGCCUUUUAUUUUUUUCCUCAUGGUCACUUCAGCUCCCAUGAGCCGCGUGA
This 210-nucleotide long non-coding RNA is filed under the name Elaeis guineensis (African oil palm). Its description in RNAcentral is "long non-coding RNA (EGUI_LNC034721)". The record is from RNAcentral. Lineage: Eukaryota; Viridiplantae; Streptophyta; Magnoliopsida; Arecales; Arecaceae.